RNAcentral lists this transfer RNA (31 nucleotides) under Uperoleia talpa (mole toadlet). RNAcentral's name for it is "partial tRNA-Ala". Lineage: Eukaryota; Metazoa; Chordata; Amphibia; Anura; Myobatrachidae. The record is from RNAcentral.
GGUGAUGUAGGGUAGUAUCCUGCAAGUCUUA